UUCUAUGUCCUCUGAUAGAAAAGCGUAGACGUACACGCGGAUAGCUAAAAUUGCAUACAGAUAACACGCCACUUGGCUUACGAAAGUAGUGUGUAUGUCAUAAUGUCA
Molecule: long non-coding RNA, 108 nt
Organism: Etheostoma spectabile (orangethroat darter)
Lineage: Eukaryota; Metazoa; Chordata; Actinopteri; Perciformes; Percidae
Exons: 3
Source: RefSeq, a predicted model, not a curated record